Molecule: ribosomal RNA, 253 nt
Filed under: uncultured bacterium
Lineage: Bacteria
Description: partial 16S ribosomal RNA
Rfam family: Bacterial small subunit ribosomal RNA
Source: RNAcentral
UACGUAGGGAGCAAGCGUUAUCCGGAUUUACUGGGUGUAAAGGGAGCGUAGGCGGGAAUGCAAGUCAGAUGUGAAAUCUGGAGGCUCAACCUCCAAGCUGCAUUUGAAACUGUGUUUCUUGAGUGAUGGAGAGGCAAGUGGAAUUCCUAGUGUAGCGGUGAAAUGCGUAGAUAUUAGGAGGAACACCAGUGGCGAAGGCGACUUGCUGGACAUUAACUGACGCUGAGGCUCGAAAGCGUGGGGAGCAAACAGG